RNAcentral lists this ribosomal RNA (322 nucleotides) under uncultured eukaryote. RNAcentral describes it as "partial 18S ribosomal RNA". It matches the Rfam family "Eukaryotic small subunit ribosomal RNA", at positions 1470 to 1796 of the family's 1831-position model. The record is from RNAcentral.
CCCUUAGAUGUUCUGGGCCGCACGCGUGCUACACUGAGUGGAUCAGCGGGUCAGGUUGCGCGAAAGUGUUUCCUAAUCUUGAAAUCCGCUCGUGAUGGGGAUUGACGGUUGCAAUUUUCCGUCAUGAACGAGGAAUACCUUGUAAGCGCGGGUCAUCAUCCCGCGCUGAAUACGUCCCUGCCCUUUGUACACACCGCCCGUCUCUCCUACCGAUUGAGUGGUCCGGUGAGGCUUUGGGAUCUGAGCGGAAAGAGCGUUUCGCUGUUUCUGCUCGGAAAACUCAGUCGAACCUUAUCAUUUAGAGGAAGGAGAAGUCGUAACA